GAAAAAUGGGAAACCGGCGGAAUGCAAUGGUUGCGGUAAGCGAUGACGAGGAUGAUCACGUGCAGCUGUCAUCGCGGCCGACACGCGACGAAGAGAAAGCGAAUCAGAGGAAGAGGAAGAAAGUGAGGCUCGACGAAGAGGAAGAAGAAGAGGAGAAAGCGAAUACAGAGGAUGAAAGUAGAGAUAAGAGAAGGACGAAGAGGAAAGUACCGGAGAACGAGGAGGAGGAGGAAGAGGAGAGGUGAUGGUGGUUCGUGAUUGGUUGUGUUGUUCGUAUUGACUGAGAAAGGAGCGGGUUGAUUCUUUAAGUUGACUGACCUUUGUUUGAAGUGUAUGAGAAGAAAAGGAGAAAAAUUAAUUUGUAGAUUUUUGUAAUUGUGAGGCAGCUAAUGGUAAUUGUAAUUUUUGUAGAAUUUUAUUUUAUUAUUAUUAUUGU
This 436-nucleotide unclassified non-coding RNA is filed under the name Hevea brasiliensis (rubber tree). The record is from RNAcentral. Lineage: Eukaryota; Viridiplantae; Streptophyta; Magnoliopsida; Malpighiales; Euphorbiaceae.